This 300-nucleotide unclassified non-coding RNA is filed under the name uncultured Glomeraceae. RNAcentral's name for it is "sequence contains 5.8S rRNA gene, ITS2". The stretch from base 1 to 71 matches the Rfam family "5.8S ribosomal RNA", at positions 84 to 154 of the family's 154-position model. The record is from RNAcentral. Lineage: Eukaryota; Fungi; Glomeromycota; Glomeromycetes; Glomerales; Glomeraceae.
GUGAAUCAUCGAAUCUUUGAACGCAAAUUGCACUUUCUGGUAUUCCGGAGAGUAUGCCUGUUUGAGGGUCAGUGUAAUAAAAAUAAAUCGUGGUUGUUAUCACUUUUCGUGGUGACGCUUCGGAAUUGAGUCGUCUUACCUUCGGUUAAGUGACUUAAAAUUUUUUCAUACGAUUUCGAAACGUAUUUAAUGUAUUAUGUACGUUCACGAAUAUCGAAUGUUUUAUUAGGUGCGGUCAUUUUUAUGAAUCGUGUCUAUAAUUUUUUUUUUUUUGACCUCAAAUCAGGUAAGAAUACCCGC